Molecule: ribosomal RNA, 294 nt
Filed under: uncultured bacterium
Lineage: Bacteria
Description: partial 16S ribosomal RNA
Rfam family: Bacterial small subunit ribosomal RNA
Source: RNAcentral
UUGGCCCCACGGGACGCAGCAGUGGGGAAUAUUGCACAAUGGGGGAAACCCUGAUGCAGCGACGCCGCGUGGGUGAAGAAGAACUUCGGUACGUAAAGCCCUAUCAGCAGGGAAGAAAAUGACGGUACCUGAUUAAGAAGCCCCGGCUAACUACGUGCCAGCAGCCGCGGUAAUACGUAGGGGGCAAGCGUUAUCCGGAUUUACUGGGUGUAAAGGGAGCGUAGACGGCAUUGCAAGUCCGGAGUGAAAGCCCACGGCCCAACCGGGGGACUGCUCUGGAAACUGUAGAGCUGG